CUCAUAAUAGCUUCUUUGACUUUCAUUGGCGCAACUUUGGUCCUUGUGUUGAUAAACAGCAAUAAAAGUUUCCAAAGGUGAUGGAAAGACUGGAGGAAAGACUAGGUGCUGAGAGCUCUCUUAUACUUGCAUUGAGGCAAUUAAACAAAACUGAGCAAUUACAAAUGCCUGUGAAGCCAUGUGUCCCAAACAUUCUGGUUUCCU
Amblyraja radiata (thorny skate) is the source of this 204-nucleotide long non-coding RNA. RefSeq lists it as uncharacterized. NCBI's taxonomy places the organism in Eukaryota, Metazoa, Chordata, Chondrichthyes, Rajiformes, Rajidae. The record is from RefSeq and is a predicted model, not a curated record. The transcript is spliced from 3 exons.